Pecten maximus is the source of this 581-nucleotide long non-coding RNA. RefSeq lists it as uncharacterized. The transcript is spliced from 3 exons. The record is from RefSeq and is a predicted model, not a curated record. Lineage: Eukaryota; Metazoa; Mollusca; Bivalvia; Pectinida; Pectinidae.
CAUCAAUCCGUCACUACUCCGACGGCGGACUGGGGUACUGUUGGUAGUGGCCAUUGUCUUAUGUUGUGAUAUCUGAAAACAGUGGAAUAUAAACUGUAACAGAUGUUUGGUAAAGGUGUACCUGCUGUUGUCUGUUUCCUCUGUGGAGGAGGAUGACACCGGUAUCAUUGACCGUGUUCCACGAAACUUACAGUGAUGUUGUUCUCGACCUGUUAGAGCGUCCGUCGUGUGGAAGGCCCGGGGCCGUAAUGCCAGCUCUUGCAACGGAGGUCGCGGUGAUUGACGUCAUCGCUGUGUUCAGUCAGCCGUGACGACGUAAGACCAAGGCGACACAUCAGACCUACUCAUGAUCAGUAUACGUGACCCACUUGAUUAAGACAAUGUCUGUCUGGGAAUAGAUUCCUGAGAACUUACCAACUGUCCGACUACAACAAUGGGAAAUGUGUUAUGUCGUAAUGGCUACUCAAGUGGCCACUGUUUACAGUCACAAAUACAAGUGAUUUAUUGCAUAUUAUAGCAUGUCACCUUCAGAAUUACAUUACAGCUGUGUUAGGUAAUAAAAUGAUUCCAUGUGUCUCCAU